Molecule: transfer RNA, 72 nt
Filed under: Fukomys damarensis (Damara mole-rat)
Lineage: Eukaryota; Metazoa; Chordata; Mammalia; Rodentia; Bathyergidae
Rfam family: tRNA
About the family: Transfer RNA (tRNA) molecules are approximately 80 nucleotides in length.
Source: Rfam by way of RNAcentral
UGGGGUAUAGCUCAGUGGUAGAGCAUGCACUUAGUACAUAUGAAGAUCUGGGUUCAAUCCCCAGCACCAAAA